GUGGGGAAUAUUGGACAAUGGGCGAAAGCCUGAUCCAGCCAUGCCGCGUGUGUGAAGAAGGUCUUCGGAUUGUAAAGCACUUUAAGUUGGGAGGAAGGGCAGUAAGUUAAUACCUUGCUGUUUUGACGUUACCGACAGAAUAAGCACCGGCUAACUUCGUGCCAGCAGCCGCGGUAAUACGAAGGGUGCAAGCGUUAAUCGGAAUUACUGGGCGUAAAGUGCGCGUAGGUGGUUUUGUAAGUUGGAGGUGAAAUCCCCGGGCUCAACCUGGGAACUGCCUCCAAAACUGCAUGACUAGAGUACGGUAGAGGGUAGUGGAAUUUCCUGUGUAGCGGUGAAAUGCGUAGAUAUAGGAAGGAACACCAGUGGCGAAGGCGACUACCUGGACUGAUACUGACACUGAGGUGCGAAAGCGUGGGGAGCAAACAGGAUUAGAUACCCGGGUAGUCC
Molecule: ribosomal RNA, 450 nt
Filed under: uncultured bacterium
Lineage: Bacteria
Description: partial 16S ribosomal RNA
Rfam family: Bacterial small subunit ribosomal RNA
Source: RNAcentral